Long non-coding RNA from Helianthus annuus (common sunflower), 641 nucleotides. RefSeq lists it as uncharacterized. NCBI's taxonomy places the organism in Eukaryota, Viridiplantae, Streptophyta, Magnoliopsida, Asterales, Asteraceae. The record is from RefSeq and is a predicted model, not a curated record. The transcript is spliced from 2 exons.
AUUACUCCCCCAUCUACCACCCUUACAUCUGCCCUAUAUCUACAGCAGCUUCAAGUUGCGUCUCUGUUAUCAUUAAGGUUAACAUCAGCUUCAAGUAACACCGGAAGGUCCACGGCGGCGCUGUUGCUCCGGCGGCCCUUCUUCUUCCACACUCCAACAGCAGGUCGCAUUUACAAUCUAAAGCCUCGAUGGGUUGAUGAGUCGUCUCCUUGGCUCGAUUUUGAUCCUCGAAUCCAACCACUCAGGAAUCACGGCUGAGUAACCGACGAACCAACACCGCACCACCAGACGACCCAUCGUCAAUGCUCGGAUCCUUGUUGCUCAACUCAUCGCUUCAACUUUUACUUCAGCCCCGAGCAGGUAUUAUUUUUCUCUUCAACUAGCCUUGGUUCAAUCACAUUUGGGGUUUUAGUUAAAAUGUUGGAAAUAGUUGUAAAUUUUGGGGCAUAUGUGUAAUGUGUGUUGGAGGGGUAUAUCGAGGAUUUUAAGUGAUUUUAACAGAGGAACCAGUUGUAGUACAACUUCAGGCAUAUCACUUAUCAUUUACAUCAGUUAUAUUUUGGAAAAAUCUAUCAUUGUGUUCCUCUGCCAUGAAUUAACAUGUUAAACUAUGGGUAUAUGUCGAUUAACAUUUUUUUGAA